UACCACGGCCCACGUGGGCAUCAUGCUA
This 28-nucleotide non-coding RNA is filed under the name Homo sapiens (human). Lineage: Eukaryota; Metazoa; Chordata; Mammalia; Primates; Hominidae. The record is from RNAcentral.